This 2735-nucleotide long non-coding RNA is filed under the name Gouania willdenowi (blunt-snouted clingfish). RNAcentral describes it as "lncRNA (ENSGWIG00000014513.1)". Lineage: Eukaryota; Metazoa; Chordata; Actinopteri; Blenniiformes; Gobiesocidae. The record is from RNAcentral.
UGAUGCUGUUUGAAACCUAUAUUCAAUUAAGAGAUUUAAGCCUCCAUUUUUAUGUAGGAAGAGGCAGAAUCAUGUCACGAUGCAGUCUGCGAUUGGACAACAGCCUGCCAAUCAGCAGCUCCUCCUUCAGUGUGGGAGCAUCCAGCAGGAGCAGGUCUCUGCGUCUCCGUCGCUCCUCCCUCUCUGAGUCCCUCCUCCGUCCUCCUGCUGGCAGGUCGUCUCUCCUGAGCAGCAGCAGUGAUGUGUCUGAUGCGUCUCUGCUCUCGUCCCUCCUGGAUGAAUCCUCCUUUCAGGAAUCCACGCUGCUCCAGUCCUUCUGGGGUUUGGAUCAUGACGUCGAUGCUAACGGGGGCGCCAUCGUGUCCCAGCAGACUGCUGCCCACGUCACAGCAGACGUACGGCCACCCUGUAGGAGCUACUGCGACUCUUCUUCUGAGGAAACGGAAACCUGCACCAUUUACACCAGGGGGCGGAGCCGACGCAGCCGCACAGGCAAGCCCCGCCCACUGAAAUCAUCAUCAGCAGAGCACUGGAUGGGGAACUGGAGCAGAGUGUUCUGGUCUCUAAUUGGCUGCUGUUUUUCCAGAUGUCGUACUAUCGGGGGUGCAGAGAUCCAGUAGAGCCGCCGCCCACUUUCUGUCACUACCUGUACUCACCUGUUGGGCGUGGCUGAGGUCAAAGGUCACAGACGGAGGAGGAGGUAGUGUUUGUGUGCGUGUGUGUGUCUCUCUGCACCUGAUGGGCACGCCCAUCACCUUCCUUUGGCUGUUUCCGUGGCAACAUGCAAACUCCUCCGUCUCCUGUUCAUCACCCUGACUCAGCGGUGGUGUGUUCAGGUGCUUCCAGGUGAGUUGUUCCUUUGUCCGCUCUGUUUCAGCUUCCUGUGACCUCGACGCCACAAUGACCCCAGAGGACGAGGGACACGCACACGACUCUCUGUGUGAGUAGCACACAAAGACACACACUCACUCUCAGGGCAAAUCAACACUCGUGCUUACGUGUGUGUGUGUGUGUGUGUGGGUGCGUUUACAACGUCUAAUAAUUUUUACAAAGUUUGACUUCAAGUAACAUUUGAGUUUCUUGAGGCUGAAGAUUUAAAUAUUUUCACUGUUUCCCUAAACUGAAGUAAGUGUGUGUGUGUGUGUGUGUGUGUGUGUGUGUGUGUGUGUGUGUGUGUGUGUGUGUGUGUGUGUGUGUGUGUGUGUGUGUGUGUGUGUGUGUGUGUGUGUGUGUGUGUGUGUGUGUGUGUGUGUGUGUGUGUGUGUGUGUGUGUGUGUGUGUGUGUGUGUGUGUGUGUGUGUGUGUGUGUGUGUGUGUGUGUGUGUGUGUGUGCGCUAAAUGUUCGUUGAUUAUUUGAUGACGCCCGCAGGUGACGACUGUCAGGAGAAGCAGCGCCUGGAGGUUGUGGGCUCUUCUGUGGUUUCCAGACUGUUGGAGCUGACGUGCAGCGCUGCCUUGCUCACAGGUUAAAUCCCCAAUACUAGUGCCCUCUAGUGGCUCAGAUGAUUUUAUUUUACCACACUUCACUAAAGGGAUCCUCCACUGUUUAUACAAAUGUGGCCUAAAAACAAGUAGAUCUAUGCCUAACAAAAAUACAUAAUUUUGCAUCAUAUUCUUUUAAUUAACUUUUAAAAUGGGAUCUCACAGUUUUAGAGCCUUUUCCUCCAACUUGAAAUCAUGUGAUUGAUGUCACAUGGCCCCAUUUUCCUGUAAAUAUUGCAUUGUUUUCUAUUGGAGUGAAGCAUUCAGCCUGCUUUUUAGAUCAUAAUAAUGUGUUUUGUUACACAUAAAUCUACUAAUAAGGACAUUUAGAAGAUUUUAGGCCAAAUUUGUAAAAACAGUGAAGGAUCCCAUUAACUCACAUUAACAUAUAUAGCUUAAUGUAAAUCUUUGUCAGACAUCUAUAAAUCAUUAACACACACCCUGUGGUCAGUAGGUCAGUAGUCCUCUUUGCUGUCUGUCCUCCCUCCAGGCCAGGUACUCUCUGGGACUGGGACACUGUUGUCCUGGCUGUGGCCUGUGGUUUGCAGGUUCUCAUGCUACGUGUGGAGCGUUGGAUGUGCUGCAGGUUAAGCUCCGCCCUGAGCCGAUCCGACUCUGCUCUCCUGCUUCUGACCUUUGACCCCGAAUUUUCUCCUCUUUAAGAGAACACUUUGCUGCUUCUGGGCUGCUGCUACUAGAUGUAGAACUGGUUCCAGUUAGUGAGAACCAGUUUGGUUGAUCUUCUGGACACACCUUACAAGGACCAAAAAAAAUUACUGCUUUGACAUCAUUUUAUUAGUUAUUGAACAUAAAGGUUAAUUGUUAUUACAGAGAAAAUGGCUUUGUUCAAAAUAGCAUACUAACUUACUAUACACUACACACAAUGAGUAUAUACUCUCUACUAUAUACUAUAAGUAUGAUUAGGAUGAUGAAACUUUCAAGUUUCCAAAUAUGCAUUUGCAACCUACAAGGACAAAAACCUGAAGCACACUAAGGCUAAAUAUCUCUGUUGAUUCUUCACCUUUGAAAGUUCUGAGUUUUAAGUGAGAAACUGACCAAGUAGAAAAUCAACAUUUGCUCAUUUGAUCCAUGAAACUCACGUAAUCUUCAAUACACAGUGAAACACCCACAGAAACCAGUUUUUCUUCUCCUGGUUCAAUCCUGAUCCCAACAUCUCAAACAUACAUUCAUUCUUGCACACAUUAAACCAGCACAGUGCUUCAAAAAUAAAUAAUGUAAUUAUUAAUUAUUCA